UACGUAGGGUCCGAGCGUUGUCCGGAAUUAUUGGGCGUAAAGAGCUCGUAGGCGGUUUGUCGCGUCUGCUGUGAAAUCCCGAGGCUCAACCUCGGGCCUGCAGUGGGUACGGGCAGACUUGAGUGGUGUAGGGGAGACUGGAAUUCCUGGUGUAGCGGUGGAAUGCGUAGAUAUCUGGAGGAACAUCAGUGGCGAAGGCGGCCUUCUGGUCCAGUACUGACACUCAAGUGCGAAAGCGUGGGGAGCAAACAGG
Molecule: ribosomal RNA, 253 nt
Filed under: uncultured bacterium
Lineage: Bacteria
Description: partial 16S ribosomal RNA
Rfam family: Bacterial small subunit ribosomal RNA
Source: RNAcentral